RNAcentral lists this microRNA precursor (69 nucleotides) under Mesocricetus auratus (golden hamster). RNAcentral describes it as "miRNA (ENSMAUG00000004754.1)". Lineage: Eukaryota; Metazoa; Chordata; Mammalia; Rodentia; Cricetidae. The record is from RNAcentral.
UCUGUGUGUGUGUGUGUGUGUGUGCAUGUGCACACACAUGCAUACACAUGCAGUAGCAAUAAUAGAUAC